This 231-nucleotide ribosomal RNA is filed under the name uncultured bacterium. RNAcentral's name for it is "partial 16S ribosomal RNA". It matches the Rfam family "Bacterial small subunit ribosomal RNA", at positions 15 to 244 of the family's 1533-position model. The record is from RNAcentral.
GAUCAUGGCUCAGGAUGAACGCUAGCUACAGGCUUAACACAUGCAAGUCGAACGGCAGCAUGAGGAGCUUGCUCCUUGAUGGCGAGUGGCGCACGGGUGAGUAAGACAUCGGAACGUGUCCUUUUGUGGGGGAUAACUGUCCGAAAGGACAGCUAAUACCGCAUAAGACCUGAGGGUGAAAGCGGGGGAUCGCAAGACCUCGCGCGAAAGGAGCGGCCGAUGGCCGAUUAG